AAAUUGAAGAGUUUGAUCAUGGCUCAGAUUGAACGCUGGCGGCAGGCCUAACACAUGCAAGUCGAACGGUAACAGGAAGCAGCUUGCUGCUUUGCUGACGAGUGGCGGACGGGUGAGUAAUGUCUGGGAAACUGCCUGAUGGAGGGGGAUAACUACUGGAAACGGUGGCUAAUACCGUAUAACGUCGCAAGACCAAAGAGGGGGACCUUCGGGCCUCUUGCCAUCAGAUGUGCCCAGAUGGGAUUAGCUUGUUGGUGAGGUAACGGCUCACCAAGGCGACGAUCCCUAGCUGGUCUGAGAGGAUGACCAGCCACACUGGAACUGAGACACGGUCCAGACUCCUACGGGAGGCAGCAGUGGGGAAUAUUGCACAAUGGGCGCAAGCCUGAUGCAGCCAUGCCGCGUGUAUGAAGAAGGCCUUCGGGUUGUAAAGUACUUUCAGCGGGGAGGAAGGUGUUG
Molecule: ribosomal RNA, 459 nt
Filed under: Salmonella enterica subsp. enterica serovar Typhimurium
Lineage: Bacteria; Pseudomonadati; Pseudomonadota; Gammaproteobacteria; Enterobacterales; Enterobacteriaceae
Description: bacterial SSU rRNA
Rfam family: Bacterial small subunit ribosomal RNA
Source: RNAcentral